UAUAUCCAUUUUGCAGCUGGCACCGCAUCUCCUGAUGUGCCCAUCUCUGCUCCACGCUCCAGACUGCGCACAUCUUGGAACAGCUGGAAAGUGCCCUCUGAACACAGGGAAACCAAGAUCGAGCUUGGGAGUACACACGUGGUGCAUUUCCCUCCCAUUCAGCACUGAGCAUCGGUCCAACAAGGCUUGAAGAAUGAAACAGCAGAGAACAAAAACCUGGGGAACCUGGACAACAGCCUAUUUUCUCUGUUUGUUUCUGUGCGCUGCAUCUGAGUGUGAGCCCGUCGACACCACCGGACACAAGUGUAGAAAUGAAUCCAUUACAGCGCCUGCGCACACUGCUGUGCUCCUGCGCUUUGUUGUUCAAGACACGGUUGUGGAUCAUUUAAAAGCUACUCUUAACUGGCAGACUGAUUCGCAGGAAGUUGUGCAUGCCUAUCACGAAGGCAAGGAUCAGCUGGACAAACAGGCAGAGAGGUUUCGUGGGCGAACCGAGGUCUUUCCCAAGGACAUUCGCAGUGGCAAUGCAUCUUUGUUGCUGAAAAAUAUAUCCUGGAAUGAUACACAAGCCUAUUGCGCUUACUUUUUCCUCAGUGAUGAUGGAAAGCAUAGUGAAUGCUGCAGCAUCCAACUUAACGUGUCAGGGAAGGGCGCUGCAGUCCCAGUGCUGGGAGCUGUGCACUGUCUCGCUGCCGUCCUGCUGCUGUACAUGGUGUUGUGAGCACGUGAAGAUAAUCUAUCUUCCUGCAGAGCCCAGAUGCAAAUGCUGACUUGUGAGCCCGAGCACUGAGGAACCCAAAGUGCGUCUCGCUUCAUCUUUCCCAGCACCUCUACGGUACGUGACCUGCCUGCUGCUGCGACUGCCGGGGCCCAGUGGAGCGGACGGUGGGACGUCUGCCAAGAGCUGCUGCUUCAGGAAGUCUCCCCAGGACCUGGCAAGGCAGAAGUCCCACCGGAGAGGAGGCCUUAAAAGUGAUUCCUGGUGGAGGGAUGGGUUGGCGGGUGCAAAUGCUAGUAGGGGGAGGGGUGUAUGUGUUUUAUGUGUGCAAUAAUACAUUUUCUCCUGGUUUAUAGAAAAAUGGAGGGAGGGGGAAAUUAAUAUGUAUAAAUUCAUAUAAUUUUUUCCCCAUCUAUUAGUGGAAGGGAAAACAUUUAUAUUAAUGUAUUCAUACUGGGGGGCGGGGUUCUACAAACCAAGGGAAAAUGCAUCUUCCUCUGACAGACACGAUUUCUAAGUCUAUAAGGGCCUAAGAGAGCCUUGAGGACACUAAGACCCAACAAAGUUCCUAAUUCCAGCAUGAGAUUUAUAUAUAAACCUUUAGCUAUUGGUAGAAAUAAACUUUUUUUUACAAAAAAUAUAAAUUUAUACAAUUGGAUGUUAGGAAAAGUUUCUGCACUUUAAUUUACCAGUCAAGUGUUUAAAAUGGCACUACCACUUUAUUCAUAAAGUAGACACUUUUGAAUGAUUCCCAGAUGCUGCUCCCAAGUUUGGGAUGUAGCGGUAAAGGCCAUGCCAGGACCAAAGCAAGGAUGUGGAGCAGAGGAGCAGGUGGGGAAAGGCUGCAGGUGGAGCUUUGUCAUAGGACAGUGGAAGAGAUUCAUUUGGAGACAAUGGCCCGUAUCCAGGUCCACCUUGAGAUGGGCCCCUAGGAUCUAAUGCAGGGGUGGGCAAAAUACAGCCCACAGGCUGGAUCUGGUGUGCCAGCAGAUUGGAUCUGGCCCACAUGUGGACAGCCACCAAUUCAUUGCAUCUGGCUCACAGGUGGCUGGCAGGUCCAGGUACUGUGUGGUGCCAAGUGGCUGGGCAAGCCUGUUUCCACCCAGCACCAUCAGCCCAGCAUCAGCUGUGGGCCUGAGCAGGGUUUCCACCACAGCAGGUGAGUGGCGGUGUCAGCUAUGGAUACUACUGGCAGAUUCAGGGGUCUGAACCCAGAACCUGCCAGCUGUGUCCACAGCUGCUGCCGCCGCCCCCGCCCCAGCGCAGAGCCCCGACCUGGAACCUGAUGCUGGCACGAGCCGUGGCUGCGGUCAGGAGCUGCGCCUGCGGCAGAUGGGUGUCAGCUGUGACACCGCUGGCGACUCCGCGUCCAGGCUCCAGAGCCUGCUGGCUGUGCCCACCGCUGAUGCCACCACCUGCCCGCUGUGGCCAAAUCCCCAUCGUGGUCCUCUGCUGAGCUUUGGGGCUGCUGGCGAACGACAGCUCUGGCCAGGUUCUGGAGGGAAGGAUGGAGAUGGAGAGGAGAGGAGAGAGAGGGCAUUGGUGUUGAAUGGGGCUAGCUCUAUUAUGCUGUUACAUUAAUUAAUAGCUGAAAGUUUAAAAAGUUCAACGCCUAAUGAGUCCGGGCCUAAUGAGUUCAGUUACUCACUGGAGCAGACCCAAAUGUUUCCACUCGGGGACUGUGUUUCUCCUCAGUGCUACCUCCAUGUCCAAUGGACAACUUUCAAAAACCACCGGGAGUACUAUUUACAAAUCUGGGUGUAUGUGUGUUUUGUUGUUUAUGUAUCUGUGUGUGUGUGCGUGUGUGUGUUAUAAUUUAUCAUGUUUUGUAUUAAAAAGGGAAGGAGAAAUUGAUAUAUGUAUUGAUACAUAUUACUUUUUCCCCCCCUCUCCCAUUUUUCUGUGAACCAGGGGAAAAUGCAUCUUCCUCUGACAAACACUAUCUCCAAGUCCCUAAGGGCCUAAGAAAACCUUGAGGACACCAAGACCCCCCUCCCUAAAAUUUCAUAAUUCUAACACAUCUAUCUUUAUCUAGAGAUAGAUAGCUGUCUAUCCAACUUCAAUAAGCUAAGGACUUAGUGAGCAAUGCCCUAUGGGAUUAUGGACUGCAGGGAAAGAGUGUGGAUGAAGAGUGGUCGUUCCUCAAGGACACGAUCCUCGGUGCACAGAAGUUGUCUAUACCGCUACGGCAAAAAGGUGGCACAGCCGCCAGAAGUUCAUCUUGGCUCAAUAGGGAAGUCCUAGGUCUUCUGAAAAAGAAAAGGGAAGCUUACCAGUGAUGGAGCUAGGCAUAGGCCCCAAGGAGAACUACAUAAGAAUGGCCCAGACCUGCAGGGAGCAGAUUAGAAAAGCACAGGCGGUGACCGAAUUCAGGCUGGCAACCGAAAUCAAGGGCAAUAAGAAGUUCUUCUAUAGGUAUAUAGGUAACAGGAAAAAAACCAGUGGAAACGUAGGACCACUUCUCAGUGCAUCUGGACAUCUGAUUGCCAACACCAAGGAGAAAACCGAACUCCUAAACAAAUACUGUGCAUCUGUAGUCCACCAAUGUAAGACUUCAUAGGCUGCCGAAUGCAAAUAUGACACAGAAGAGUCGCAGGAGGGCUGAUCACUUACCACAGUCAAUGUAGAGCUGGUGAAAGAACAGCUAGGGAGGAUGGAUACCUAUAAGUCAGCAGGACCAGAUGAACUCCAGCUGGGAGUGCUGAAUGAACUAGCCAAAGUCAUCACAGGACCGCUGGCCAACCUCUUCAGGAAUUCGUGGCACUCGGGAGAGGUCCCAGAAGACUGGAAGAGGGCCAAUGUUGUGCCCAUCUUCAAGAAGGGAAGGAGAGAGGACCCAGGGAAAUACAGGCUGAUCAGCCUGACCUCCACUCCCAGGAAAAAUCCUUGAAAAAUUUGUCAAGGAGUCCAUAUGUGAUUCAUAGAUUCAUACAUUCAUAGAUGUUAGGGUCGGAAGGGAACUCAAUAGAUCAUCGAGUCCGACCCCUGUAUAGGCAGGAAAGAGUGCUGGGUCUAGAUGACCCCAGCUAGAUACUCGUCUAACCUCCUCUUGAAGACCCCCAGGGUAGGGGAGAGCACCACCUCCCUUGGGAGCCCGUUCCAGACCUUGGCCACUCGAACUGUGAAGAAGUUCUUCCUAAUGUCCAAUCUAAAUCUGCUCUCUGCUAGCUUGUGGCUAUUAUUCCUUGUAACCCCUGGGGGCGCCUUGGUGAAUAAAUCCUCACCAAUUCCCUUCUGUGCCCCCGUGAUGAACUUAUAGGCAGCCACAAGGUCGCCUCUCAACCUUCUCUUGCGGAGGCUGAAGAGGUCCAGGUGCCCCAGUCUCUCCUCAUAGGGCUUGGCCUGCAAGCCCUUAACCAUACGAGUUGCCCUUCUCUGGACCCUCUCCAGGUUAUCCGCAUCCCUCUUGAAGUGCGGCGCUCAAAACUGCACGCAGUACUCCAACUGCGGUCUGACCAGCGCCCGAUAGAGGGGAAGUAUCACCUCCCUGGACCUAUUCAUCAUGCAUCUGCUGAUGCACGAUAAAGUGCCAUUAGCUUUCCUGAUGACUUCAUCACACUGCCGGCUCAUGUUCAUCUUGGAGUCCACUAGGACUCCAAGAUCCCUUUCCACUUCUGUGCCACCCAGCAGGUCAUUUCCUAGGCUGUAGGUGUGCUGGACAUUUUUCCUCCCUAGGUGCAGCACUUUGCAUUUCUCCUUGUUGAUACGCUAGUAGAAGGCAAAUUUCAGAAUGACAUCCAGCACGGUUUUGUUGCAGGUAGGUCCAACACUGUGAAUUCGUGCUUCCAUGCAAGCUGCAGCCCCGCUGCUCUGCAAAUCUGUCGGGACGUGGGACAGCUGGCCAAAGACAACUGGCUCUGCUCCACCUCCACCUCCUUGCUGAAAGCAUCAAAUGCACAACUCUAUUGCCUAUGUCUGGACGGGGAGAGGAGAGGGCCAGUUUCACAGCUGCAACCUCCCUUCAGCACCAGGGGAUGCAGAGGCUGCUGUCUGCCCGCUGCAUCCCUGUCCCCGUGGCAGGGCAGGGGCUGCAGCUGGGAGACACUAGGCACUUCAUGCACUUACCCUGUUCACAGGGAAACUGUUAGUUCAACUAUAAGAGGUAGGUGUUGAACGGGGCUGGCUCUGCAAUUCUGUUGUGUUUAUUAAUAACUGAAAGUUAAAGGCCUAAUGAGUCUGGGCAAAGCAGUUCAGUCGCUCGCUCGGCCUGACCAGCACGUUUCCACUCAGGGACACGUUUCUUCCCAGUGUUACCUCGUGUCUAGCACACACCUGCCAAGAACCACUGGGGCACUGUUUAUAAAUGUGUGUGCGAGAUGGAUGUGUGAGUAUGUGUUCUUAUUUACGUGUGUUUGCAUAGGUCUGUGUAUAUGUAUGUGUGUAUAGUAUCUCUUACCCUGGUUUGUAGAGAAAUGGAGGGAGGGGGAAAAUUGCUGUGUAUAACACUGACGGGUCCCAGGGCCAAUUAAUCAUUGGAACGGUCUCAAGGCUCGGUCCUCCAUCAGUCCGGCCUUGGGAAGCAGGCUGGGGCCCGUGCGGACUUGCUAACACUGCUGAGACCUCAGCAAGGGAACGGGAGGAAGGGACUUGUUGUUGGAGCCCUGCGCUGAAUGCUUGUCCUGCUUUUGUUCUGUUCAUUUUCUAGCUGUUAUAUUGGGUAAUAAAGUGCAUUUGCUUCA
Alligator mississippiensis (American alligator) is the source of this 5397-nucleotide long non-coding RNA. RefSeq lists it as uncharacterized. The record is from RefSeq and is a predicted model, not a curated record. Lineage: Eukaryota; Metazoa; Chordata; Crocodylia; Alligatoridae. The transcript has 6 exons.